Molecule: small nuclear RNA, 104 nt
Organism: Manis pentadactyla (Chinese pangolin)
Lineage: Eukaryota; Metazoa; Chordata; Mammalia; Pholidota; Manidae
Source: RefSeq, a predicted model, not a curated record
GUACUCACUUCAGCAGCACAUAUACUAAAACUGGAAUGAUACAGAGAUUAGCAUGGCCCCUGCACAAGGAUGAUAUGCAAAUUCAUGAAGCAUUCCAUAUUUUU